Molecule: unclassified non-coding RNA, 378 nt
Filed under: Hevea brasiliensis (rubber tree)
Lineage: Eukaryota; Viridiplantae; Streptophyta; Magnoliopsida; Malpighiales; Euphorbiaceae
Source: RNAcentral
UAAUGAAGAGUCGGAAAGUUUUGGACCAUCAACAAUUAGUCUCAGAGUGUGUCGAGCAGUUGAGUCGCAUGUUCAAGGUAUGGCAUAUACUUUUGAUCAUGAAUACAUAUUAGCAAAAAGAACAAGUUGGGGAACUUUGGCUACUGACUGAGUUAAUUUAGGAACUCUGUUCUGAUAUUCCUUUCUUUUAUAUGCAUGGUUACACCUUGUUCAAAAAUCCUCAAUAAACCCUUUCUGGAUGAAUUGGAAUUGUAGCAUAGCCAUCAUAAAUUAGCAUAAAAGAGAAAUAAGAAGUUUUGAUGGAGCUUCCUUCAUGUUUUUUCUUUGUUCUUAUGACUAUGGAUUUAAAUUUGCAGCCUGACAUUAAGGCAAUUAAGA